RNAcentral lists this ribosomal RNA (377 nucleotides) under uncultured bacterium. Its description in RNAcentral is "bacterial SSU rRNA". It matches the Rfam family "Bacterial small subunit ribosomal RNA", at positions 521 to 896 of the family's 1533-position model. The record is from RNAcentral.
UAAUACGUAGGGAGCAAGCGUUGUUCGGAUUUACUGGGCGUAAAGGGCGCGUAGGCGGCAAAUCAAGUCAGCUGUGAAAUCUCCGAGCUUAACUCGGAACGGUCAGCUGAUACUGUUUUGCUAGAGUGCAGAAAGGGCAAUCGGAAUUCUUGGUGUAGCGGUGAAAUGCGUAGAUAUCAAGAGGAACACCUGAGGCGAAGGCGGGUUGCUAGGCUGACACUGACGCUGAGGCGCGAAAGCCAGGGGAGCAAACGGGAUUAGAUACCCCGGUAGUCCUGGCCCUAAACGAUGAAUACUUGGUGUCUGGAGUUUCAAUACUCCGGGUGCCGUCGCUAACGUUUUUAGUAUUCCGCCUGGGGAGUACGCUCGCAAGAGUG